Molecule: long non-coding RNA, 144 nt
Organism: Maniola jurtina (meadow brown)
Lineage: Eukaryota; Metazoa; Arthropoda; Insecta; Lepidoptera; Nymphalidae
Exons: 3
Source: RefSeq, a predicted model, not a curated record
AAUAAAUAAAUAUAGGGCUUUGCUGGCGUUUGUGUUGUUGAAAACACGUGUUAGUGAGGUUUUGCGUAAUUUUAACUGUUGUGUCAAUUUAUUAGUUGGUGUCUGGACUGUACGUAUCCCGUGAAGUGUCCGACCCUUCAGCCG